GACGAACGCUGGCGGCGUGCUUAACACAUGCAAGUCGAACGGAAAGGCCUGCUUUCCCUUGUGGAUUGCGGGUACUCGAGUGGCGAACGGGUGAGUAACACGUGAGUGAUCUGCCCCCAACUUGGGUAUAAGCCUGGGAAACUGGGUCUAAUUCCCGAUAGGACUGCAGGGUGGUGCCUGUGGUGGAAAACGAUUUUCUAGUGGUUGGGGAUGAGCUCGCGGCCUAUCAGCUUGUUGGUGGGGUAAUGGCCUACCAAGGCGGCGACGGGUAACCGGCCUGAGAGGGUGGACGGCCACAUUGGGACUGAGAUACGGCCCAGACUCCUACGGGAGGCAGCAGUGGGGAAUAUUGCACAAUGGGCGGAAGCCUGAUGCAGCGACGCCGCGUGGGGGAUGACGGCCUUCGGGUUGGAAACUCCUUUCGACCGCGAGGAAGCCACCUGGUUGGAAGGGUGGUGACGGUAGUGGUAGAAGAAGCACCGGCUAACUACGU
This 493-nucleotide ribosomal RNA is filed under the name uncultured bacterium. RNAcentral's name for it is "partial 16S ribosomal RNA". It matches the Rfam family "Bacterial small subunit ribosomal RNA", at positions 28 to 506 of the family's 1533-position model. The record is from RNAcentral.